Haliotis rufescens (red abalone) is the source of this 343-nucleotide long non-coding RNA. RefSeq lists it as uncharacterized. Lineage: Eukaryota; Metazoa; Mollusca; Gastropoda; Lepetellida; Haliotidae. The transcript has 3 exons. The record is from RefSeq and is a predicted model, not a curated record.
UUUUGAAUAAAACAAGCAGGUUAUGUGUAAAGGAUUGGUCUGUGCAGAUACUUAAGGAGUUGACGACAGCCUGACUCAGAUCAGUAUCACUAGUACCGACAUGAGAGCAGUUCUUUUCCUCGUCUUUGCUUCAGCGCUGCUUCUAGCGGCUGUUGAUGCCCAAAGCUGUGGCCGAUUUGACAGAUGUUUGACGGGCAGAAUCUGUGACCUUGAGUGCCCCGGAUGUAACGGACGUACUGUUUGCCACCACCAGGGACCUUUCAUCGGACACUGCGUUUGUGAAGGAACAACGACACAGAGCAGUUCGUAGUUUGGUUUGGGGAAUAAAUAAACUCCAACCUGU